Molecule: long non-coding RNA, 452 nt
Organism: Motacilla alba alba
Lineage: Eukaryota; Metazoa; Chordata; Aves; Passeriformes; Motacillidae
Exons: 4
Source: RefSeq, a predicted model, not a curated record
UUGCAGAUUCUGCUUUUCCUGGGAGGAAGCUAGCACCAUUACUCUUACAUACAACUCUUAUAAGGGAAACACAGCAGUGAUUCAACUGAAAGGCUGAAGAAGCCCUUUGUGCACUCUGGUAGUUGGAUCAUUCUCAUGGGUGGUGGCAGAUGUACAAGAAAACAACUUGGGUCUCCCACAGAGUCAGUUGUCAGUGUGUGAGAGGUAGACAUUCUUCUGAUGUUGGAUGGAAAUACCAUCAUAUGGCUUUCUUGGAAUUUUGUUGUGAACUUGGACUCUGAGGCAGCCUCUGGGUGACUGGGGAGAUGAUAUGACACCUGGCACUAAGUGUGUCACUGCGAUCAUCAAUCAAGUCCCUCAUUUUGCAAGAAGAAAAAACAGAAGAUGUGGAGUCUUUAUGACUCGCUACAUAUAGGGCACAACCAUUCUUGUGAUUUCUGGAUCCUCAUGUG